This 253-nucleotide ribosomal RNA is filed under the name uncultured bacterium. Its description in RNAcentral is "partial 16S ribosomal RNA". It matches the Rfam family "Bacterial small subunit ribosomal RNA", at positions 524 to 776 of the family's 1533-position model. The record is from RNAcentral.
UACGGGGGGGGCAAGCGUUGUUCGGAAUUACUGGGCGUAAAGGGCUCGUAGGCGGCCAACUAAGUCAGACGUGAAAUCCCCAGGCUCAACCUGGGAACUGCGUCUGAUACUGGAUGGCUUGAAUCCGGGAGAGGGAUGCAGAAUUCCAGGUGUAGCGGUGAAAUGCUUAGAUAUCUGGAGGAACACCAGUGGCGAAGGCGGUGUUCUGGGCCUGUACUGACGCUGAUGCGCGAAAGCGUGGGGAGCGAACAGG